RNAcentral lists this ribosomal RNA (993 nucleotides) under Pseudomonas fluorescens. RNAcentral's name for it is "bacterial SSU rRNA". It matches the Rfam family "Bacterial small subunit ribosomal RNA", at positions 53 to 1045 of the family's 1533-position model. The record is from RNAcentral. Lineage: Bacteria; Pseudomonadati; Pseudomonadota; Gammaproteobacteria; Pseudomonadales; Pseudomonadaceae.
CCAUGCAGUCGAGCGGUAGAGAGAAGCUUGCUUCUCUUGAGAGCGGCGGACGGGUGAGUAAUGCCUAGGAAUCUGCCUGGUAGUGGGGGAUAACGUUCGGAAACGGACGCUAAUACCGCAUACGUCCUACGGGAGAAAGCAGGGGACCUUCGGGCCUUGCGCUAUCAGAUGAGCCUAGGUCGGAUUAGCUAGUUGGUGGGGUAAUGGCUCACCAAGGCGACGAUCCGUAACUGGUCUGAGAGGAUGAUCAGUCACACUGGAACUGAGACACGGUCCAGACUCCUACGGGAGGCAGCAGUGGGGAAUAUUGGACAAUGGGCGAAAGCCUGAUCCAGCCAUGCCGCGUGUGUGAAGAAGGUCUUCGGAUUGUAAAGCACUUUAAGUUGGGAGGAAGGGUUGUAGAUUAAUACUCUGCAAUUUUGACGUUACCGACAGAAUAAGCACCGGCUAACUCUGUGCCAGCAGCCGCGGUAAUACAGAGGGUGCAAGCGUUAAUCGGAAUUACUGGGCGUAAAGCGCGCGUAGGUGGUUAGUUAAGUUGGAUGUGAAAUCCCCGGGCUCAACCUGGGAACUGCAUUCAAAACUGACUGACUAGAGUAUGGUAGAGGGUGGUGGAAUUUCCUGUGUAGCGGUGAAAUGCGUAGAUAUAGGAAGGAACACCAGUGGCGAAGGCGACCACCUGGACUGAUACUGACACUGAGGUGCGAAAGCGUGGGGGAGCAAACAGGAUUAGAUACCCUGGUAGUCCACGCCGUAAACGAUGUCAACUAGCCGUUGGGAGCCUUGAGCUCUUAGUGGCGCAGCUAACGCAUUAAGUUGACCGCCUGGGGAGUACGGCCGCAAGGUUAAAACUCAAAUGAAUUGACGGGGGCCCGCACAAGCGGUGGAGCAUGUGGUUUAAUUCGAAGCAACGCGAAGACCUUACCAGCCUUGACAUCCAAUGAACUUUCUAGAGAUAGAUUGUGCCUUCGGGACAUUGAGACAGGUGCUGCA